CUAGCCGCACGGUCAUGGUUC
RNAcentral lists this non-coding RNA (21 nucleotides) under Arabidopsis thaliana (thale cress). The record is from RNAcentral. Lineage: Eukaryota; Viridiplantae; Streptophyta; Magnoliopsida; Brassicales; Brassicaceae.